This 380-nucleotide ribosomal RNA is filed under the name Acanthamoeba sp. RNAcentral's name for it is "SSU rRNA". It matches the Rfam family "Eukaryotic small subunit ribosomal RNA", at positions 762 to 1112 of the family's 1831-position model. Lineage: Eukaryota; Discosea; Longamoebia; Acanthamoebidae. The record is from RNAcentral.
AAAAUUAGAGUGUUCAAAGCGGGCAGAUAUUUUUCCUGCCACCGAAUACAUUAGCAUGGGAUAAUGGAAUAGGACCCUGACCUCCUAUUUUCAGUUGGUUUUGUUUAUACAGCGAGGUUCAUCAGGGUAAUGAUUAAUAGGGAUAGUUGGGGGCAUUAAUAUUUAAUUGUCAGAGGUGAAAUUCUUGGAUUUAUGAAAGAUUAACUUCUGCGAAAGCGUUUGCCAAGGAUGUUUUCAUUAAUCAAGAACGAAAGUUAGGGGAUCGAAGACGAUCAGAUACCGUCGUAGUCUUAACCAUAAACGAUGCCGACCAGCGAUUAGGAGACGUUGAAUACAAAACACCGCUGUUAAUCCCCUUUCGGGGGUUAAUAGUUGGUGAA